UCAAGAUUGAAAUGGGGGACAGUCUGGAAUUUACGAGGAUGAGAUAGAAUGGACAGCCCUGUGACAUCAACUUGGAAGAGGUUGGACUCCAGAUUUGGAUACUCAGAUCCCGGCAACCAGGCUGGUUAAGUUCAUACCACAAGUUGUGUCUUGCCUUCUGAGGGUGGUGGUUCCAAUGUCAAAGCCAAGAGGUAAAGAAGGAAAGAAAAACCCAGUAAGCUCCCUGGCAUACAAGCUAUUCUUCUCUCAGGAGAAAUGGCUUGAGAAAGACAUGUUGAAGAGGAAAAAUACGUUAAGGCUUGCCAAUCAGCUGACUGCAGCAGCAGCAGCAGCAGCAGCAGCAGCAGUGAUGCACAGAUCUGAUCUGCGUUGGCAAUAUACUUGUAAUUCGGACAUGCAUCUCCAGGACACCAGCCUUAGCAGGAAGGGGAGCCAAUCAAGGGGAAACAAUUAUGCAAAUUUAAAAUGUAAACUCUCUGGAGCCCCUGCCACAACCUGAUCUCUAUAAGAAUCAUGAUGUUUCCAAGGCAGCACAUGGUUUGGGGAAAUUGGAGAGAAUACUCCCGAUGGAAAGGGAUAACAUCACAGCUGCCACAACAAUGCUAUCCAGUGAGCAAAUGUCGGAUGUUCAGAGGGACCAAGUCAUCUUGAUUAGAAUCGUGGAGGUAUGAGUUUCAAAGUGGAAUAAUCUCAUAUUUAAUAAAUUUGCAAUCUCUUCACAGUGCACUGGAAAAGGGAACAUGCUUAAAAUAAUUCCAGGGACUUGGCUCCUGGGCUUAUUCAGAUAUCGGAAUGAUUGUCAGGGACUGGUUUAUUGUCUUGCUAGGAUGAAGUAGAUGCUUUUAAAUCUCUUUUCUAUUGUGCAUGUCUGUGGGAACACAUGUUUGCUCUUCUUUUUCACCCAAAAUAUUAAAAAGCUGUUCAAAUUGCCAGAUCAUUUUUUCCAAGAUGACACUUAUUUAUUUACAAAAAUCUUUAAAAUGUUAUUACAAAGAAUGUGUUUAUUGUAGAAAAACCAGAACACAUAGUUAUUUUAAUACAAGAAAGC
RNAcentral lists this long non-coding RNA (1048 nucleotides) under Homo sapiens (human). RNAcentral describes it as "long non-coding RNA NONHSAT158902.1". The record is from RNAcentral. Lineage: Eukaryota; Metazoa; Chordata; Mammalia; Primates; Hominidae.